AUAGAUGGAUCCGCGCUGCAUUAGCUAGUUGGUAAGGUAACGGCUUACCAAGGCAACGAUGCAUAGCCGACCUGAGAGGGUGAUCGGCCACACUGGAACUGAGACACGGUCCAGACUCCUACGGGAGGCAGCAGUAGGGAAUCUUCCGCAAUGGGCGAAAGCCUGACGGAGCAACGCCGCGUGAGUGAUGAAGGUCUUCGGAUCGUAAAACUCUGUUAUUAGGGAAGAACAUAUGUGUAAGUAACUGUGCACAUCUUGACGGUACCUAAUCAGAAAGCCACGGCUAACUACGUGCCAGCAGCCGCGGUAAUACGUAGGUGGCAAGCGUUAUCCGGAAUUAUUGGGCGUAAAGCGCGCGUAGGCGGUUUUUUAAGUCUGAUGUGAAAGCCCACGGCUCAACCGUGGAGGGUCAUUGGAAACUGGAAAACUUGAGUGCAGAAGAGGAAAGUGGAAUUCCAUGUGUAGCGGUGAAAUGCGCAGAGAUAUGGAGGAACACCAGUGGCGAAGGCGACUUUCUGGUCUGUAACUGACGCUGAUGUGCGAAAGCGUGGGGAUCAAACAGGAUUAGAUACCCUGGUAGUCCACGCCGUAAACGAUGAGUGCUAAGUGUUAGGGGGUUUCCGCCCCUUAGUGCUGCAGCUAACGCAUUAAGCACUCCGCCUGGGGAGUACGACCGCAAGGUUGAAACUCAAAGGAAUUGACGGGGACCCGCACAAGCGGUGGAGCAUGUGGUUUAAUUCGAAGCAACGCGAAGAACCUUACCAAAUCUUGACAUCCUUUGACAACUCUAGAGAUAGAGCCUUCCCCUUCGGGGGACAAAGUGACAGGUGGUGCAUGGUUGUCGUCAGCUCGUGUCGUGAGAUGUUGGGUUAAGUCCCGCAACGAGCGCAACCCUUAAGCUUAGUUGCCAUCAUUAAGUUGGGCACUCUAAGUUGACUGCCGGUGACAAACCGGAGGAAGGUGGGGAUGACGUCAAAUCAUCAUGCCCCUUAUGAUUUGGGCUACACACGUGCUACAAUGGACAAUACAAAGGGCAGCGAAACCGCGAGGUCAAGCAAAUCCCAUAAAGUUGUUCUCAGUUCGGAUUGUAGUCUGCAACUCGACUACAUGAAGCUGGAAUCGCUAGUAAUCGUAGAUCAGCAUGCUACGGUGAAUACGUUCCCGGGUCUUGUACACACCGCCCGUCACACCACGAGAGUUUGUAACACCCGAAGCCGGUGGAGUAACCUUUUAGGAGCUAGCCGUCGAAGGUGGGACAAAUGAUUGGGGUGAAGUCGUAACAAGGUAGCCGUAUCGGAAGGUGCGGCU
RNAcentral lists this ribosomal RNA (1308 nucleotides) under Staphylococcus aureus. RNAcentral's name for it is "bacterial SSU rRNA". It matches the Rfam family "Bacterial small subunit ribosomal RNA", at positions 221 to 1519 of the family's 1533-position model. Lineage: Bacteria; Bacillati; Bacillota; Bacilli; Caryophanales; Staphylococcaceae. The record is from RNAcentral.